GCCUUCUUAGUGCAGCUGGCAGCACAUCAGUCUCAUAAUCUGAAGGUCCUGAGGUCAAGCCUCAGAAAAGGCA
Molecule: non-coding RNA, 73 nt
Organism: Mauremys mutica (yellowpond turtle)
Lineage: Eukaryota; Metazoa; Chordata; Testudines; Geoemydidae
Source: the annotation of a RefSeq genome assembly